RNAcentral lists this ribosomal RNA (293 nucleotides) under uncultured bacterium. RNAcentral's name for it is "partial 16S ribosomal RNA". It matches the Rfam family "Bacterial small subunit ribosomal RNA", at positions 505 to 796 of the family's 1533-position model. The record is from RNAcentral.
GUGUCAGCCGCCGCGGUAAGACAUAGGUGGCGAACGUUAUCCGGAAUUACUGGGCGUAAAGAGUGCGUAGGUGGUUUAACUAGUUAUCGGUGGGAAAUCGGGGCCCAACCUCGUGGAAGUCGGUAAUACUGUUAAACUAGAGGGUCGGAGAGGUUAACGGAAUUCUAUGUGUAGCGGUAAAAUGCUCAAAUAUAUAGAGGAACACCAAAAGGCGAAGGCAGUUAACUAUUCGAUUCCUGACGUUGAGGCACGAAAGCGUGGGGAGCAAGACGGAUUAGAUACCCCAGUAGUCC